GCCACUGUGGCAUAGUGGUUUGAGCACUGGACUAUGACUCCAGAAGCCAAGUUCCAUUCCUAGCUGAGCCA
Non-coding RNA from Phrynosoma platyrhinos (Desert horned lizard), 71 nucleotides. NCBI's taxonomy places the organism in Eukaryota, Metazoa, Chordata, Lepidosauria, Squamata, Phrynosomatidae. The record is from the annotation of a GenBank genome assembly.